CGUAGGUGGCAAGCGUUGUCCGGAUUUACUGGGCGUAAAGCGCGUGUAGGUGGUUUGGAAAGUCCGGGGUGAAAUCUUGCGGCUCAACUGCAAGAGGUCCUUGGAUACUUCCAGACUUGAGGGAGGCAGAGGAAGGUGGAAUUCCCGGUGUAGUGGUGAAAUGCGUAGAUAUCGGGAGGAACACCAGUGGCGAAGGCGGCCUUCUGGGCCUUUCCUGGCGCUGAGGCGCGAAAGCGUGGGUAGCAAACCGGAUUAGAUACCCGGGUAGUCCACGCCCUAAACGAUGAGCACUAGGUGUGGGGGGUAUCGACCCCCUCCGUGCCGAAGCUAACGCGAUAAGUGCUCCGCCUGGGGACUACGGCCGCAAGGCUA
This 372-nucleotide ribosomal RNA is filed under the name uncultured organism. RNAcentral's name for it is "bacterial SSU rRNA". It matches the Rfam family "Bacterial small subunit ribosomal RNA", at positions 526 to 896 of the family's 1533-position model. The record is from RNAcentral.